Molecule: unclassified non-coding RNA, 250 nt
Filed under: uncultured Russula
Lineage: Eukaryota; Fungi; Basidiomycota; Agaricomycetes; Russulales; Russulaceae
Description: sequence contains ITS2
Source: RNAcentral
AAUUCUCAAAACCUGUUCUUCGAUUGGGGAAAGGGUUUUGGACUUGGAGGAUCAAUGCUUGCUCUUACUUUUGAAGGCGAGCUCCUCUCAAAUGAAUUAGUGGGGUUCGCUUCGCUGAUCCCUGACGGUGAUAAGACAUCUCUACGUUUUGGAUUUGGCGACUGUCCCUUGCUUCUAACCGUCCUAUGGACAAUGAUGGGUGCACCGGUCACCGCCUUACAUUGGCGGGGAGGCUGGGCCCACAAAAGGA